GGGAAUACCAGGGGUGGGCACUGUCAAGAGACCCAACUUUGACUUCAAAUGCCACCCAGAGGGACAACUGCUCACUUUCAGAGCAGGAGCAGGAGGCCAGCGGAGAGCGGGUCCCUAUGAUCCAGACCUCAGGAGAGGGUUCCUGGACAUCGCACAGAAAGGGAUUCAAGACUGGCUGAAACUGUUUAGAGCCAAGAUAGCCAACCAAAUGAGUUCAAGAAGACCUCAGGCUUCAUUAUCAUCUCAUUUCCAUGCUAAAAAAACCCCAGCUCCCCAGAGCAAUGGGAAAUAGUGGGCACUUCAUCAGGUGAGUUCGGGUGCAUUUCUAGAGAUUGUCCAGGGGCUGAUAACAAGAAUAGAGAACCAUCCAUAUCCACAAGCGGCAGAACCUCUUCCAGCAAAACGGAGGUGCCUCACCCAAAGGUGGCCGAGGAGGCCGUCGGAGGACCACAAAGCUGCAAGUGGCUUUUCUGGGGCCUGCAGGGAACAGUUGGAGGAUGCUUGGAAGGGCACCCACACCGGGUCUCACAGGAGUCUGCACCUACAGGUCACGCUGGCAUUAGCCCCUCAUCCUCUGGAGUUCAUCUCAUCCAGGCGAAGACAGCUCGCUGGCCUCAGAGGGUGAGAUGCAACUGGAGGGUAAAAACAUUUUUACGGGGCAUGGACACAAAAGUGGCCUUUACUUCUGGGUAAGCUUUUAAAACUUCCCAUCUACACGAAAAGUGUACUUUCUAUGUGCCACCAAGAAACCUAAACUAAGUAAAAGGUGUCUCACUUUAAUCAAGUUCCAGAAUGCGACAGCUCUGAAAAGCACUGUCGCAGCAGGAGAUUCGAGGGUGCAUGCAAAGCCAUGUUUCUAGAAAAUACCAAAGGAAACAGACACAACUCCAAUGUGGACUCCCACUUCCCUGCACUACUGCUCCAUCCCCAGGGUGGAGGCCACAUUGUCCAGCUGGCUGCGGGAACCUCAUCAUGCUCCUUGAGUGUGUGCAGCAGGUGUCUGCUGAAGUCCACAUUCUGCCUGUCUCAUCUGCUGAGCAGUGCCUCCUCCCGAUUCAGCACGUCCCUGGUGCUGACUUUCUGCAUGUGUUCACUUUGAGGAUGCAUUGUGGGCCUGCAAGAAAUGCAAAGCUGGUUGAGGCUUUAUUAAAUUCAAAUUCAAGCUGUUAAAUCGAGGCUCUCAGACUCCUGCUGCCUGGCCAGUGGAGAAAUCAACGUUCACAUAUGGCUUUGGGGUUUCUCUCUGUCAUUCUGAUUGACGUGUUCUCUCAUUUUUCUGAAGUCUGGGACCUCAACACAGACAUUUGGGUGAAGGCCUUGACAGUGGGGCUGGUGCAAAAUGAAUUGUCACAUCACACCCAACAUUCUCAACCUUUAGAAUCUGAAAGUAAGAAAAACACCUCAAACAAAACAUUAACGAUUGAAUAAUUCAAGGCACUCUCCUUGGUGCUGAAGAAGGUCUAAGGAGAUCUACACCACAGAGGCUGCACCCACUCCUCAGCCUUGCUGAGCCACACCAUUCUCAUCUCUACAGCAUCCACCUCUCUUGGCUCUUGUAAAGACUGAGACAUGCCAUCAGGCUUACUAUUGAUUCUGAGUAAUUAGCACAGAUUUCUAAAAGAAACUUUAUGGGAUGCUGAGACAUGAAUAAAAACAACUUUAUUCCUUUGGGAAGGACAACCCACAUGCUAAGAAGAUGAUACUGCACGUUGUUAUAGCCCGAAGGGCCCUCUUUCCACUGGGGAGCAGUGAGUAGAGGUUGCCCAUCUGGAUUCCCAAGUCAGAUAGAUAUGGAUUCAGAUCCCAGCUCUGCUGCUUGCUACCCAAGAGACCAUGGACUGUGGACUCUUUAGGUCUCAGGGUUUUAGUUUGUUGUCUGUUUUUCAUUUCCAAAACCAGUAAAUGAUAAGAUAUUUUCCAUAAGAUGGCGGUGGAGAAGAGAGCUUGAUGGACCUUGCUUGGACCAAAUGCCUUCACCACUAACUCAGUCAGCUAUGGCGAUGGGUCAAGGACCUGGUGGUUUUACAGAGAAGGCCCCUGGUCAAAUCUUUGUGAAUGAAGCAACCAUUCUGAUGUUCAAUAACGGGAAUGCACCAGUUUAUGCCAAACUAUCUGUACUAUUGAGAACAACAAAAAUAUCUGACCAAAAACACCAAAGAGUGACAUUUUAAAAGACAUCAAGGAACUCUCAAGGCUUCCAGAGUUGGAAAGAUCAAGAAAGAGAGAAUGCAACUUCAUUAAGUGACUCAGCUCCAAAUAGGAGCAUUUCAAGAGUAUGUAUUUCAACAAAGAAGUAUUAGAAGAUGACAGUGUCCUUGCAGUAUCUUUUAGGGGCUAUCAGAACAUGAUUUCUGCUAUAUUCUAUCAUCGGAGCCUUAAUAAUGUCAACUAUAAUUCAAGGGAAGAUCAAAUAACCUUCGCCUUUCAAGGAAACGAGUAACAAAGAA
This 2447-nucleotide long non-coding RNA is filed under the name Pongo abelii (Sumatran orangutan). Its description in RNAcentral is "lincRNA". The record is from RNAcentral. Lineage: Eukaryota; Metazoa; Chordata; Mammalia; Primates; Hominidae.